Molecule: ribosomal RNA, 349 nt
Filed under: uncultured bacterium
Lineage: Bacteria
Description: partial 16S ribosomal RNA
Rfam family: Bacterial small subunit ribosomal RNA
Source: RNAcentral
CCUACGGGCGGCUGCAGUGAGGAAUAUUGGUCAAUGGGCGCGAGCCUGAACCAGCCAAGUCGCGUGAGGGAUGACGGUCCUACGGAUUGUAAACCUCUUUUGCCGGGGAGCAAGCGGGCGUGCGUGAACGCGCGUCGAGAGUACCCGGAGAAAAAGCAGCGGCUAACUCCGUGCCAGCAGCCGCGGUAAUACGGCGGAUGCGAGCGUUAGCCGGAUUGAUGGGGUUUAAAGGGUGCGUAGGCGGGAUGCCAAGUCAGCGGUAAAAAUGCGGGGCUCAACGCCGUCGCGCCGUUGGAACUGGCGUUCUUGAGUGGGCGAGAAGUAUGCGGACUGCGUGGUGUCGCGGUGA